CGGUAACAGCUCAAAUUUGAAAUCUGGCCUUUUCAGGGCCCGAGUUGUAAUUUGCAGAAGAUGCUUGGGGUGCGGUGCCCACCUAAGUUCCUUGGAACAGGACGUCACAGAGGGUGAGAAUCCCGUAUGUGGUGGGGGCCCAGCCCGUGUCAAGCUCUUUCGAC
This 164-nucleotide ribosomal RNA is filed under the name Helotiales sp. RNAcentral describes it as "partial large subunit ribosomal RNA". It matches the Rfam family "Eukaryotic large subunit ribosomal RNA", at positions 99 to 261 of the family's 3401-position model. The record is from RNAcentral. Lineage: Eukaryota; Fungi; Ascomycota; Leotiomycetes; Helotiales.